This 661-nucleotide ribosomal RNA is filed under the name uncultured bacterium. Its description in RNAcentral is "bacterial SSU rRNA". It matches the Rfam family "Bacterial small subunit ribosomal RNA", at positions 11 to 650 of the family's 1533-position model. The record is from RNAcentral.
GUUUGAUCCUGGCUCAGGACGAACGCUGGCGGCGUGCUUAACACAUGCAAGUCGAACGGAGAACUUAUUUCGGUAAGUUCUUAGUGGCGAACGGGUGAGUAACGCGUGGGCAACCUGCCCUCCAGUUGGGGACAACAUUCCGAAAGGGAUGCUAAUACCGAAUGUGCUCCCUCCUCCGCAUGGAGGAGGGAGGAAAGAUGGCCUCUGCUUGCAAGCUAUCGCUGGAAGAUGGGCCCGCGUCUGAUUAGCUAGUUGGUGGGGUAACGGCUCACCAAGGCGAUGAUCAGUAGCCGGUCUGAGAGGAUGAACGGCCACAUUGGGACUGAGACACGGCCCAAACUCCUACGGGAGGCAGCAGUGGGGAAUCUUCCGCAAUGGACGAAAGUCUGACGGAGCAACGCCGCGUGAGUGAUGAAGGUCUUCGGAUUGUAAAACUCUGUUGUUAGGGACGAAAGCACCGUGUUCGAACAGGUCAUGGUGUUGACGGUACCUAACGAGGAAGCCACGGCUAACUACGUGCCAGCAGCCGCGGUAAUACGUAGGUGGCAAGCGUUGUCCGGAAUUAUUGGGCGUAAAGAGCAUGUAGGCGGGCUUUUAAGUCUGACGUGAAAAUGCGGGGCUUAACCCCGUAUGGCGUUGGAUACUGGAAGUCUGAGUGCAG